UAGGGAAUCUUCCGCAAUGGACGAAAGUCUGACGGAGCAACGCCGCGUGAGUGAAGAAGGAUUUCGGUUCGUAAAACUCUGUUGUUAGGGAAGAAAAAAUGUAUAUUAACUAUAUACAAAAGAGACGGUACCUAACCAGAAAGCCACGGCUAACUACGUGCCAGCAGCCGCGGUAAUACGUAGGUGGCAAGCGUUGUCCGGAAUUAUUGGGCGUAAAGCGAGCGCAGGUUGUUUAGAAAGUCUGAUGUGAAAGCCCACGGUUCAACCGUGGAGGGUCAUUGGAAACUAAUAAACUUGAGUGCAGGAGAGAAAAGUGGAAUUCCUAGUGUAGCGGUGAAAUGCGUAGAGAUUAGGAGGAACACCGGUGGCGAAAGCGGCUUUUUGGCCUGCAACUGACAAUGAGGCGCGAAAGCGUGGGGAGCAAACAGG
This 429-nucleotide ribosomal RNA is filed under the name Verrucomicrobiota bacterium. RNAcentral describes it as "Verrucomicrobia bacterium partial 16S ribosomal RNA". It matches the Rfam family "Bacterial small subunit ribosomal RNA", at positions 355 to 776 of the family's 1533-position model. The record is from RNAcentral. Lineage: Bacteria; Pseudomonadati; Verrucomicrobiota.